CAGGAUCCUGGAUCCAUGUAUGAAAUUUUUUUGGAAGAAGAGAACAGGAAUCUGAUAGACAGGACAGGAGAGAGCACAGAGGGGAUCUAGUCCCGCCCUCGUGCUUCAGAUGGAACAAAUAUGAUGCAGCAGCUGGAGAGGACCACAUUCUGGAUGGUGACAACACUGAGGAAAUGACCCUCUGCUACAGUGUAAAGUGAUGUAGAAUGUACACAGUAAAUAUAGCAAUUUGUUAUCAACUCCUGCUGGUAAAGAAAUAUGUUCAUCUUCACCAUUUUAAGAUGUCAGAAUGUCAACGUUUUCAGGCCAUAGAUACUAAUCCAUGGGAAAUAUAGGUCUGGAAGAAGACAUGAAGUUCUUUUGUAUCAUCUUUGGGGGGAAAAAGUUUAGUAGAAAUUUUCAAACAGCUAUGAGAACUGCAGUGGCUACCAG
Molecule: long non-coding RNA, 432 nt
Organism: Hyla sarda
Lineage: Eukaryota; Metazoa; Chordata; Amphibia; Anura; Hylidae
Exons: 4
Source: RefSeq, a predicted model, not a curated record